This 517-nucleotide ribosomal RNA is filed under the name Campylobacter jejuni. RNAcentral's name for it is "bacterial SSU rRNA". It matches the Rfam family "Bacterial small subunit ribosomal RNA", at positions 1013 to 1533 of the family's 1533-position model. The record is from RNAcentral. Lineage: Bacteria; Pseudomonadati; Campylobacterota; Epsilonproteobacteria; Campylobacterales; Campylobacteraceae.
CUAGCUUGCUAGAACUUAGAGACAGGUGCUGCACGGCUGUCGUCAGCUCGUGUCGUGAGAUGUUGGGUUAAGUCCCGCAACGAGCGCAACCCACGUAUUUAGUUGCUAACGGUUCGGCCGAGCACUCUAAAUAGACUGCCUUCGUAAGGAGGAGGAAGGUGUGGACGACGUCAAGUCAUCAUGGCCCUUAUGCCCAGGGCGACACACGUGCUACAAUGGCAUAUACAAUGAGACGCAAUACCGCGAGGUGGAGCAAAUCUAUAAAAUAUGUCCCAGUUCGGAUUGUUCUCUGCAACUCGAGAGCAUGAAGCCGGAAUCGCUAGUAAUCGUAGAUCAGCCAUGCUACGGUGAAUACGUUCCCGGGUCUUGUACUCACCGCCCGUCACACCAUGGGAGUUGAUUUCACUCGAAGCCGGAAUACUAAACUAGUUACCGUCCACAGUGGAAUCAGCGACUGGGGUGAAGUCGUAACAAGGUAACCGUAGGAGAACCUGCGGUUGGAUCACCUCCUUUCUAG